This 439-nucleotide ribosomal RNA is filed under the name uncultured soil bacterium. Its description in RNAcentral is "bacterial SSU rRNA". It matches the Rfam family "Bacterial small subunit ribosomal RNA", at positions 26 to 452 of the family's 1533-position model. The record is from RNAcentral.
AGAUUGAACGCUAGCGGGAUGCUUUACACAUGCAAGUCGAACGGCAGCGCGGACUUCGGUCUGGCGGCGAGUGGCGAACGGGUGAGUAAUAUAUCGGAACGUGCCCAGUAGCGGGGGAUAACUACGCGAAAGCGUGGCUAAUACCGCAUACGCCCUACGGGGGAAAGGGGGGGAUCGCAAGACCUCUCACUAUUGGAGCGGCCGAUAUCAGAUUAGCUAGUUGGUGAGGUAAAGGCUCACCAAGGCGACGAUCUGUAGCUGGUUUGAGAGGACGACCAGCCACACUGGGACUGAGACACGGCCCAGACUCCGUACGGGAGGCAGCAGUGGGGAAUUUGGGAACAAGUAGGGGGAAACCCUGAUCCAGCCAGUCCCGCGUGUGCGUAGUGAACGGUCCGUUACGGGUUACGUAAAGCGUACGUUUGGUACGAGGGAAACG